This 253-nucleotide ribosomal RNA is filed under the name uncultured bacterium. RNAcentral's name for it is "partial 16S ribosomal RNA". It matches the Rfam family "Bacterial small subunit ribosomal RNA", at positions 524 to 776 of the family's 1533-position model. The record is from RNAcentral.
UACGGAGGGGGCAAGCGUUAUUCGGAAUUAUUGGGCGUAAAGGGCGCGUAGGCGGCUAGAUGUGUCAAAGGUGAAAUCCCUCGGCUCAACUGAGGAACUGCCUUUGAAACUGUCUGGCUUGAGGCCGGGAGGGGGUAGCGGAAUUCCCAGUGUAGCGGUGAAAUGCGUAGAUAUUGGGAGGAACACCAGUGGCGAAGGCGGCUACCUGGACCGGUUCUGACGCUGAGGCGCGAAAGCGUGGGUAGCAAACAGG